CCCUUAGAUGUUCUGGGCCGCACGCGCGCUACACUGAUACACUCAACGAGUUCCUGUCUUGAAAGAGUCGGGUAAUCAUUUGAGCGUGUAUCGUGAUGGGGAUAGAAUAUUGUAAUUAUUACUCUUCAACGAGGAAUUCCUAGUAGUCACUGUUCAUCAGACAGUGACGACUAUGUCCCUGCCCUUUGUACACACCGCCCGUCGCUCCUACCGAUUGAAUGAUCCGAUGAAUAUCAUGGAUUGAGGAUGCAAGCAGGUUCGCCUGUCUUCAUCUUCGAGAAGUGAAGUAAAUCUUAUCAUUUAGAGGAAGGAGAAGUCGUAACA
RNAcentral lists this ribosomal RNA (324 nucleotides) under uncultured eukaryote. RNAcentral's name for it is "partial 18S ribosomal RNA". It matches the Rfam family "Eukaryotic small subunit ribosomal RNA", at positions 1470 to 1796 of the family's 1831-position model. The record is from RNAcentral.